Clupea harengus (Atlantic herring) is the source of this 1170-nucleotide long non-coding RNA. The record is from Ensembl. NCBI's taxonomy places the organism in Eukaryota, Metazoa, Chordata, Actinopteri, Clupeiformes, Clupeidae.
GUGCCGUGGUUCUUAUGUGCCGUGGUUCUUAUGUGCCGUGGUUCCUUCCUUACUAACAGGGAGUUUUUCCUUGCCUCUGCUGCCAUUGUGCUUGCACUAAGGGGGUCCAGGCUCUGGGCUCUGUAAUGCGCCUUGAGACAAUUGUAUUGUUAAGGCGCUAUGUAAAUAAAAUUGAAUUGAAUUGAAUUUAUGGAUCUAAUUUCAACAUGUCUACAGGUUACCUGUGAUAUGGACUGUUUAACUAUUCCUGUACAUGACAGCUGUAAGGAACAGAGGAGUCUGAUGAGUUUGUUUGCCUUAUGAGAGAUUUAUUUAUGGGCUUUUUAGCCUUUAUUUGGAUAGGACAGUGAGGAGGAGUGAAGAGGUGGGGAGAGGAUGGGAGGGAAACGUCAGCAGGUCAGAAUCGAACCUGUGUCCCCGCGGGCAUUGGAGCCCGUAAAUGGGGGGCUUAUUCACUCGUGCCACAGUGCCCCCCCCCCCCCCCCCACCUUAUGAGAGAUUUAUUUUGAGUGUUAAACUGUACAUUCCACAAAGCGAAGAUCAGAAACGACAAACAGUGACUUAGGUUUCCAUUCUAUUCCUUUUCUGAACUCAUUCUGCUGUAGGUCUUAGGUGCCUGGCAUCGAGACCUUUUUGCAACUUCAACUUCCCACUCGCUUGUGAAAUGCAUCGCAGUGCGUGUUUAAGUAAUUGUGUUGGGAUGGGGGUCAUUGAUGAUUUUGAUGAGAAGAUCAGGAAAGUGAGUUCAGGGAGGAUUCCAGGAGUACACCAGGUUGUGGGGGUGUUAUAGAGGUAGUCAUGGUGAUUCCAGGAGUACACUAGAGUGUGGGGGUGUUAUAGAGGUAGUCAUGGUGAUUCCAGGAGUACACCAGGUUGGAGGGGUGUCACAGAGGUAGUCAUGGUGAUUCCAGGAGUACACUAGAGUGUGGGGGUGUUAUAGAGGUAGUCAUGGUGAUUCCAGGAGUACACUAGAGUGUGGGGGUGUUAUAGAGGUAGUCAUGGUGAUUCCAGGAGUACACUAGAGUGUGGGGGUGUUAUAGAGGUAGUCAUGGUGAUUCCAGGAGUACACCAGGUUGGAGGGGUGUCACAGAGGUAGUCAUGGUGAUUCCAGGAGUACACUAGAGUGUGGGGGUGUUAUAGAGGUAGUCAUGGUGAUUCCAGGAGUACACU